CAGCAGCCGCGGGAAUACGGAGGGGGCUAGCGUUGUUCGGAAUUACUGGGCGUAAGGCGCACGUAGGCGGCUUGGUAAGUUAGAGGUGAAAGCCCGGAGCUCAACUCCGGAAUUGCCUUUAAGACUGCCGAGCUAGUAGGUGAGAGAGGUAAGUGGAAUUCCGAGUGUAGAGGUGAAAUUCGUAGAUAUUCGGAAGAACACCAGUGGCGAAGGCGGCUUACUGGCUCAUUCUAGACGCUGAGGUGCGAAAGCGUGGGGAGCAAACAGGAUUAGAGACCCCCGUAGUCCCUGUCUCUUAUAC
RNAcentral lists this ribosomal RNA (301 nucleotides) under uncultured bacterium. RNAcentral describes it as "partial 16S ribosomal RNA". It matches the Rfam family "Bacterial small subunit ribosomal RNA", at positions 509 to 807 of the family's 1533-position model. The record is from RNAcentral.